Molecule: ribosomal RNA, 468 nt
Filed under: uncultured bacterium
Lineage: Bacteria
Description: partial 16S ribosomal RNA
Rfam family: Bacterial small subunit ribosomal RNA
Source: RNAcentral
GACGAACGCUGGCGGCGUGCUUAACACAUGCAAGUCGAACGGAAAGGUCCUGCUUUUGUGGGGUGCUCGAGUGGCGAACGGGUGAGUAACACGUGAGUAACCUGCCCUUGACUUUGGGAUAACUUCAGGAAGCUGGGGCUAAUACCGGAUAGGAGCUCCUGCUGCAUGGUGGGGGUUGGAAAGUUUCGGCGGUUGGGGAUGGACUCGCGGCUUAUCAGCUUGUUGGUGGGGUAGUGGCUUACCAAGGCUUUGACGGGUAGCCGGCCUGAGAGGGUGACCGGCCACAUUGGGACUGAGAUACGGCCCAGACUCCUACGGGAGGCAGCAGUGGGGAAUAUUGCACAAUGGGCGGAAGCCUGAUGCAGCAACGCCGCGUGCGGGAUGACGGCCUUCGGGUUGUAAACCGCUUUCGCCUGUGACGAAGCGUGAGUGACGGUAAUGGGUAAAGAAGCACCGGCUAACUACGUG